RNAcentral lists this long non-coding RNA (847 nucleotides) under Homo sapiens (human). RNAcentral describes it as "HSALNT0327730". The record is from RNAcentral. Lineage: Eukaryota; Metazoa; Chordata; Mammalia; Primates; Hominidae.
GUCCGGGUCCCGACGCCUUACCUUUGCCGAACUGGGGGACACCGAGGCUGAGCCCGACCAAGAGCCAGACGGCUACCGAGCGCUUCAUGAUCCCGUCUCCCGGACGUGACCCCGGCUGGUCAGGGGUCGUCGCGGAGGGCAGUGUAGCCGAGGUGGCAGCGCAGGGCAGCAGCAGACUCCGCCCCUACUAAAGAAUUCAAGAAGACGUUCUCUUUCCUCAGCGCUUUGUUAAACAAAUUCUUGGAGAGGGCGAGAGUGGUGACUAAAGAGAGGAGCCUUUCCUCCCCUUUUGCCUGCGCUCCGGCGCGCGGAGAGCCUUUGGAAGGAAUUGGGCCAUGAGAAGAGCCCUCAUGAAUGGGAUUAGUUCCCUUAUAAGAAGAGACACCAAGGAAGUGAUCUUUCUCUGCCCUCUGCUAUGUGAAGACAAGGUCAUCUGCAGUUUUUUGUUGUUGUUGAUGAUCUUCCUGUCAUAGACAAUGCUGUAACAAACAGACUAAUUGUUCACUGUUGACAUAUAGAAGUACUACUGAUUGGCCAGACAUAGUGGCUCAUGCCUGGAAUCCCAGCACUUUGGGAGGCCAAGGCAGGUGGAUCACUUGAGCCCAGAAGUUUGAGACCAGCCUGGGCAACAUGAUGAAACCCCAUCUCUACAAAAUAAAUAGAAAAAUUAGCUGGGUAUGGUGGCAUGUGCCAGUAGUCCCAGCUACAUGGGAGCCUGAGGUGGGAGGACGACUUGAGCCCAGGAGGUGGAGGUUACAGUGAGCUGAGAUCAUGCCACUGCACUCCAGCCUGGGUGACAGAGUGGGACUCUGUCUAAAAAAAAAAUUGUAUUAUCUGUAAACGGAAA